UCUUGAACAAUGGGCGCAAGCCUGAUCCAGCCAUGCCGCGUGAGUGAUGAAGGCCYUAGGGUYGKAAAGCUCUUUCKCCAGGGAWGAUAAUGACWGUACCUGGUAAAGAAACCCCGGCUAACUCCGUGCCAGCAGCCGCGGUAAUACGGAGGGGGUUAGCGUUGUUCGGAAUUACUGGGCGUAAAGCGCGCGUAGGCGGAUURGAARGUYGGGGGUGAAAUCCCGGGGCUCAACCCCGGAACUGCCUCCAAAACUCCCRGUCUUGAGUUCGAGAGAGGUGAGUGGAAUUCCGAGKGUAGAGGUGAAAUUCGUAGAUAUUCGGAGGAACACCAGUGGCGAAGGCGGCUCACUGGCUCGAUACUGACGCUGAGGUGCGAAAGYGUGGGGAGCAAACAGGAUUAGAUACCCUGGUAGUCCACACCRUAAACGAUGAAUGCCAGUCGUCGGGSAGCAURCUGUUCGGUGACACACCUAACGGAUUAAGCAUUCCGCCUGGGGAGUACGGUCGCAA
This 511-nucleotide ribosomal RNA is filed under the name uncultured Alphaproteobacteria bacterium. RNAcentral's name for it is "partial 16S ribosomal RNA". It matches the Rfam family "Bacterial small subunit ribosomal RNA", at positions 362 to 891 of the family's 1533-position model. The record is from RNAcentral. Lineage: Bacteria; Pseudomonadati; Pseudomonadota; Alphaproteobacteria.